Gossypium raimondii (Peruvian cotton) is the source of this 123-nucleotide non-coding RNA. NCBI's taxonomy places the organism in Eukaryota, Viridiplantae, Streptophyta, Magnoliopsida, Malvales, Malvaceae. The record is from Rfam.
AAUAGGAGAAUGACAAAUCAGAUUUUUCUUCCUGAUUUUCAGAUUUUUCCUCUAAAAAAAUUCAAAUUGAACUAAAAAUACUAAAAUUUAGGAGGAAUAAAUAUGAUUUGUCAUUCUCCUAUU